Molecule: long non-coding RNA, 3747 nt
Organism: Hippocampus zosterae (dwarf seahorse)
Lineage: Eukaryota; Metazoa; Chordata; Actinopteri; Syngnathiformes; Syngnathidae
Exons: 4
Source: RefSeq, a predicted model, not a curated record
AAUCUAUUGUCCUUGAAAAGUCAUAUCGGCCCCGUGCACACAUCUCUUCACACAAGUCAUCCUUGUGUCUUUCCUGUGCCUGCACCUUUCCCACAGUCGGGCAGGCGCAGAUCAGCCUGCUGCUUUUAUCUGCUUUGUAUUCUUUGGCAAAACAGAGGGAAGUGAGAGAGAAGAUGGCGAGGACCUCGAGUCCUGCAACUCAACGCAAACAAGAAGCUCCCCACUUAUAAAGCUGAUUGCGAUAAAGCUGACUGAUGUAGACGGUGGCAGACGGGGGUCUGAAAGUGAGGAGUCAAGACAGGAAGUACACCCCCCUUAUGGCAACGAACCAUGUUAUUACAAGAUACGCUGGCACGUUGAUGUAGUCAAGGGCGUCAUCGGAACAAGACGUGCGACGAAAGGUGAGACAUUGAUCUGGUCUUGACCUUCAUAAGAGGGGCCAUUGGUUCAAAAAGUUGGGGGUCACUUGCUCGAUGAAUACCUCCACAUCUUGCUGACUCCACUGUUUAAAGACAUACAGGAAUUCUCCCCUCUGAUCCUAAAGCCAGCCUUGCGGCACACUCCAAUGUUAUCGACUCAGCAUGUUUUCAGCGUGGUGUGGACGCACUCUCAAUCAUCAUUAAGGGUUUUGGAGAGUCCUGGGGUCUGGGAAACUUUCCAGAAUGUGUAAAAGUUUCCAUGAGGAAAGCCUCCGUUGCUUUCAGAAUCAUCAGGGGUAGACGGAGAUCCUCUACAAGAAUAGAAUGCCCUUUUUUGUUCCCGAAGGAAAGGGGAUUUGACAACAUUUGGAUUUUCACAUUGAGAAAACAAGCCUGGUCGAGUUUCAAAUGCAGAAACCCUGAAUUGAAGAGGAAACAAUCACAAGUAAAACUACCCUGAAACGCAAAGCAAUCAGAGCACAUAUGUUAACUGUCAGAAAUUGACUGAGGCUGCAAUAUGUUUUUGUGUGCGUGUGUGUCUGUGUGUCUGUGUGUUGUUUUUUCGGAGAAUAAUGGUCCUCUGUGUCCCUGAGAGGCAGCUGGUACAAAUCUGACCCUCUGAUUAGCACAACUAAGCUGCACUCAGCUUCUUUUCAUGAUAUUACCAAUCACGACAGCAGCUAAUAAGACAGGACACACUGCAGUAGCCGCACAGGACCAAACGCCUGGCCCAUUCAGCAUUCUUCUUUUGCUACACGGACACACACGCACGAACAUGCGCACAGAGCUGAACAUAUACACGUGAACGAUAUAUGUUGCAAAAUCAUCGAUCCAACGCACCAAACUGCUUGAUCCUUGCAAGGUUCACAUUGGAGCCUAUCCCAGCUGAUUUUGAGCAGUAGGCGGGGCACACCCUGAACUGGUUGCCAGCCAAUCGCAGGGUGCACUUAGACAAACAAACAUUCAGACCCACAAUCACAUCUAAGGAUAAUUUAUCGUGUUCACUUAACAGACCGUACAUCUUUUUGGAAUGUGGGAUGAAAGCGGAGUACUCGGAGAAAAGCCAUGCAGGCACAGGGAGAAUGUGAAAGCGAUACAUAGGGAGGAGGGGCCGGAAUUGAACACACAACCUCUGCACUGUGAGGUGGACAUGCUAACCAGUUGAUAUUUGUACCGGCAUAGCAAAAUCAGAUAAAAUGGAAUUAUAUAGGUUUAAAAAGAAGAUGUUAUUUUUAACCCAGGAGUUUUAAGUUUUUAAAAAUGGCCUUGAUGACUCUAUAAUGAUCCAUGAUUCUGGAGUAACCCAGCUCCGUAGAGUGAGGACAAAAUUGUGUACCAAUUUUCUUGAAAGGCAGUCUCUCUUUGUUCUUCUCUUCUUAAAUGUACACAUGCACAUGCACACACAAUCUUACACACACACACACACACACACACACACACACACACACACACACACACGCACACACACACGCACACACACAUACACUGCGCAGUUCGAUAAAUAGCAAUACUAAAGGCUUUAAUCUUGAAACAUACACAUCGCAGAUGCUUUAGCACCUGUAACGUUUUCUAACUCCUACCGAGCAACUUGAUUGAACAGCAGCAAACAAAAUGCAUUCUAGUAAUAAUAAUAAUAUAUUGGCUUGAGAAGAAUGUAAGACAUUUGUCACAUAUCCUGUUUAAACCAAGGUGCACUUACAUAUUCACUCUGCACGACAAGACAGAAAUCACGCACUGCUGGUGCUUGCCGUUGGGAGCGCCGAACAGCGUUGGGAGGGGUGGCGUGGAUGAAGCUCGUUUUUAAACAAAAGUGGGUCUACUCUAUUUUUGUAGUUAAAAUAUUCAGUUUCAACUUUGGACUGUACUUUUUUAUUUGUAGUUAAAAACAACACAGCUUAAUUUUUUUUAAUGAAUAUCAAACAUUUUGGGGGCGCUAUUAUUGUCUUUGUAUACUGUAAAUGGGCCAUGUACGCCUCUGUUGAAGCAGCAGUGAUAUGGAAACCGGCAGAAGGGGUAUUGCAUUAAGCCGUGCUCACAGCAAGAACAACAGGUAAACAAAAUCUGCUUUAGAGAGUAUGUAUUGCAGUCAAGGGGUUUUAAGCUCAGGCUCGCGCCAUCCUAUCAGUGCUCCUCGUGGUACAGUAGCUCACUGUUGAUAAGUUGAGUGAUUUCUCAAGGGCUGUAUAAAAUCUAGUCCGGGCCAGAGAGGCACAUUUCCUUUGCCUGAUGAGAGCUGGAGGCCUUCGCAUUGGAGCGUGGGAGGUGAUGCACUCUUGGGGAAGAUCAAGUGUGCGCCCAUGGACUCCAAAUCACCAGCCCCCAAUUGCUGAGGAGGAACACAAUGCUACAUCCCUAGCGUUAAAUCACUGCUGCUGAGGUGAGGUCAUCCGCUUGUCUUCCUCUCUAAUGGAGAGCUCAGCUCACUAACGCACAGCGGUAAUGCAUGGAGAAGGGACGCAAGAGGCACAGUGAGCUACCUUCCAAUCUUAUUUGUUUUAACUUAGUACUCAUUUGAGGAGUUUGAGAGAGAACUGGGAGCGGCAGAUGCCUUUGGAGUAUGCUGUUACCACCGCAUACUUACCAGGACUCCAGGAGCUCACCGCAGAAUGCAUGAGCGGAUGACAGAUAACAGGUUGGUGACCCUAGAGACGGGAUGGACACAGGAGGCAAUAAACUCGGCCAUGCGCUCCCUUGGGUGUGUCUGAUCUCAUUGCCAGGGUAGAGCCAUGACCCUUCGGUCUCCCUGGAUGACUUCAGCUGCACGGCCUGUACUCCAGAGGGAAAAGACGGGAAAAGAAAACCUCUGCCUCAGAUCUCCCGGCAUCCCUCCCAAAAAGCCAGGCGGGGAUUAGGAAACCCCUACCUAUUGUUUUGCUUCCUUCGCAAUCAUUAGUCGAUAUGUCAACAGCUUGGUUUGCCACGCGUGCGCCACUGUUUUUGUUCUGCUGGGACCUGGCUGACCCCAGAUUCUCUGUGAUGUUUUGACAGAUUGUUUCAAAUUCCCAUCAAAGCAAUGUUGUCUUAUGAGCUAAAUCAACUACUUGGACAAUACAAACACGACCACACGACACACAGAAAAACAAAUAGAUUGCCUGUGACUGAAAUGUAACUGUUCAAUUUGUUUCUGUUUAUUUAGAUUCACGCUUAAACGAAACAGAUGUGACGUAAAUCGGCACCCUGUAUUAUGUAACGAAAGUGUAGAGAAUGGUAAAGCAGGCUGUGGGCUGACAAGGCCUGAUGGCGAUGAGUAAUUUUAAAUGGGAUCAAUGUUCUGAGUAAAUACUCAAUAUUGUUCAUAUAUGAAUGAAAAUAAACACUCUCAAAUCCA